GUGGCAUCUUCCAGUUGCAUUGUGUGGCCAAAUGAACAGGACCCAGUCAAACUGGCCUGGUCCAUUAGUCAGGCUCCAUGUCCAGAACCAAAGACGGGAACUGUACCCCUCCCUCUGUGAGCAGGGAGUAAAUGUCCCGGAGCGCAGUGGGGUUGGGAGGUCCAGGGGAGGACAGCGUAACCAUAGUAUCAGACAAAGCCUGUCAGAGGAACAGAACAUUAACAAGCAGAACCCAAACAUCUAUAUAUUGACAUUAACACACAUCACAACACACGUCUUACAUUUGGUGGUAGUGGUACCUCCUACCUGUUACAGGUGUGUGUGAGAGACAGGUGGUGGUAUCUCCUACCUGUUACAGGUGUGUGUGAGAGACAGGUGGUGGUAUCUCCUACCUGUUACAGGUGUGUGUGAGAGACAGGUGAUGGUGCCUCCUACCUGUUACAGGUGUGUGUGAGAGACAGGUGAUGGUGCCUCCUACCUGUUACAGGUGUGUGUGAGAGACAGGUGAUGGUGCCUCCUACCUGUUACAGGUGUGUGUGUGAGAGACAGGUGAUGGUGCCUCCUACCUGUUACAGGUCUGUGCGAGAGACAGUGAGGGUGUCUCUUACCUGUUGCAGUUGCACCUCCUGCUGCAUCAGUUCCACCCGUAGCCUUAGCCUCUCCACCUCCUGAAGCUCUGCCUGAGAGGUGUAGAUGAGGGUUGGGGGGAGUAGGGUCAGUCCACAUGGGUCCCCCCACCCGCCUCUUCUCCUGACGGUGCAGAACUCUCCAACCCCUUCCGGCCUCCUCCAGUGAUCCCAUGCCUCUGACUCU
Long non-coding RNA from Esox lucius (northern pike), 813 nucleotides. The record is from Ensembl. NCBI's taxonomy places the organism in Eukaryota, Metazoa, Chordata, Actinopteri, Esociformes, Esocidae.